This 332-nucleotide ribosomal RNA is filed under the name uncultured Geobacillus sp. Its description in RNAcentral is "bacterial SSU rRNA". It matches the Rfam family "Bacterial small subunit ribosomal RNA", at positions 568 to 898 of the family's 1533-position model. Lineage: Bacteria; Bacillati; Bacillota; Bacilli; Caryophanales; Anoxybacillaceae. The record is from RNAcentral.
CGCGCAGGCGGUCCUUUAAGUCUGAUGUGAAAGCCCACGGCUCAACCGUGGAGGGUCAUUGGAAACUGGGGGACUUGAGUGCAGGAGAGGAGAGCGGAAUUCCACGUGUAGCGGUGAAAUGCGUAGAGAUGUGGAGGAACACCAGUGGCGAAGGCGGCUCUCUGGCCUGUAACUGACGCUGAGGCGCGAAAGCGUGGGGAGCAAACAGGAUUAGAUACCCUGGUAGUCCACGCCGUAAACGAUGAGUGCUAAGUGUUAGAGGGGUCACACCCUUUAGUGCUGUAGCUAACGCGAUAAGCACUCCGCCUGGGGAGUACGGCCGCAAGGCUGAA